This 85-nucleotide transfer RNA is filed under the name Daphnia pulex (common water flea). It matches the Rfam family "tRNA". Rfam says of the family: Transfer RNA (tRNA) molecules are approximately 80 nucleotides in length. Lineage: Eukaryota; Metazoa; Arthropoda; Branchiopoda; Diplostraca; Daphniidae. The record is from Rfam by way of RNAcentral.
GCCUGCUUAGCUCAGUGGUAGAGUGUUGGUCUCGUAUGUACAAAUAGAUAACCAAAGGCCGAGAGUUCAAUCCUCUCAGGAGGCA